Myotis lucifugus (little brown bat) is the source of this 103-nucleotide unclassified non-coding RNA. It matches the Rfam family "Y RNA". From Rfam's summary of the family: Y RNAs are components of the Ro ribonucleoprotein particle (Ro RNP), in association with Ro60 and La proteins. The Y RNAs and Ro60 and La proteins are well conserved, but the function of the Ro RNP is not known. In humans the RNA component can be one of four small RNAs -- hY1, hY3, hY4 and hY5. The record is from Ensembl. Lineage: Eukaryota; Metazoa; Chordata; Mammalia; Chiroptera; Vespertilionidae.
AGCUGGUCGGAGUGCAGUGGUGUCUUACAACUAAUUGAUCACAGCCAGUUACAGAUUUCUUUGUUCCUUCUCCACUCCCACUGCUUCACUUGACUAGCCUUAA